GGUUCUCUCCGAAAUAGCUUUAGGGCUAGCCUCGAGGUAAAGAGUCAUGGAGGUAGAGCACUGUUUGGACUAGGGGCCCUUCUCGGGUUACCGAAUUCAGAUAAACUCCGAAUGCCAUGUACUUAUACUCGGGAGUCAGACUGCGAGUGAUAAGAUCCGUAGUCGAAAGGGAAACAGCCCAGACCACCAGUUAAGGUCCCCAAAUAUAUGUUAAGUGGAAAAGGAUGUGGGGUUGCUUAGACAACCAGGAUGUUGGCUUAGAAGCAGCCACCAUUGAAAGAGUGCGUAAUAGCUCACUGGUCGAGUGACCCCGCGCCGAAAAUGUACCGGGGCUAAACAUAUUACCGAAACUGUGGAUGAACCUCUUUAGAGGUUCGUGGUAGGAGAGCGUUCUAAGGGCGGUGAAGUCAGACCGGAAGGACUGGUGGAGCGCUUAGAAGUGAGAAUGCCGGUAUGAGUAGCGAAAGAAGGGUGAGAAUCCCUUCCACCGAAUAUCUAAGGUUUCCUGAGGAAGGCUCGUCCGCUCAGGGUUAGUCGGGACCUAAGCCGAGGCCGAUAGGCGUAGGCGAUGGACAACAGGUAGAGAUUCCUGUACCAGUGCUAAUUGUUUAACCGAUGGGGUGACACAGAAGGAUAGGGAAUCGCACGAAUGGAAAUGUGCGUCCAAGCAGUGAGUGUGAGAA
This 683-nucleotide ribosomal RNA is filed under the name Listeria monocytogenes. Its description in RNAcentral is "partial 23S ribosomal RNA". It matches the Rfam family "Bacterial large subunit ribosomal RNA", at positions 851 to 1531 of the family's 2925-position model. Lineage: Bacteria; Bacillati; Bacillota; Bacilli; Caryophanales; Listeriaceae. The record is from RNAcentral.